GAUGAAGAACGCAGCGAAAUGCGAUAAGUAAUGUGAAUUGCAGAAUCCAGUGAAUCAUCGAAUCUUUGACCGCACAUUGCGCCCGCCAGCAUUCUGGCGGGCAUGCCUGUUCGAGCGUCAUUUCAACCCUCGACCUCCCUUUGGGGAAGUCGGCGUUGGGGACCGGCAGCACACCGCCGGCCCUGAAAUGGAGUGGCGGCCCGUCCGCGGCGACCUCUGCGUAGUAAACCAACUCGCACCGGAACCCCGACGUGGCCACGCCGUAAAACACCCAACUUCUGAACGUUGACCUCGAAUCAGGUAGGACUACCCGCUGAACUUAAGCAUAUCAAUAAGCGGAGGA
RNAcentral lists this unclassified non-coding RNA (343 nucleotides) under soil metagenome. RNAcentral describes it as "partial contains 5.8S ribosomal RNA, internal transcribed spacer 2, and large subunit ribosomal RNA". The stretch from base 1 to 120 matches the Rfam family "5.8S ribosomal RNA", at positions 35 to 154 of the family's 154-position model. The record is from RNAcentral.